Molecule: long non-coding RNA, 3682 nt
Organism: Peromyscus californicus insignis
Lineage: Eukaryota; Metazoa; Chordata; Mammalia; Rodentia; Cricetidae
Exons: 3
Source: RefSeq, a predicted model, not a curated record
UUGGUGUCUGGACACCUAAGGCGUGCCGGUCAGCCGCAGGGGUCCCUGACUGUUAACCUCAAGCCUUCUUGAAGAGGAUGUUGGGUGGCCUCACUAUCUGAGGUGCUGGGUGGGCUCCCUGUUGAGGAUGCUCGGCUCUCCACGAGUGUCUCCUGGUGGCCUCAAAAGCUUGAGUGUUUUGGGAGGUGUGGGGUUGUCAUCAGCCGGGACUUAGAGAUGACAACGACAAGGCCACCUUGCCACCAGUCCCGCUCUGUUGGUCCUUUAGACCUUCCGAGAAGUCACAGUGGCAGCCUAUCCUUAGAGGCUGCUCCCAGGAGGAGUCUUCACACAGACCCAGGAAGGCCUGCUCCACCUUCCCUCAUCCUUCACCACCCUGCCCCGGCACCAGUAGCAGAGUUAGAGCCCAGCCACAGGACCAGGGGAGACAUUCUGGCUCACGAGGCCGGGCAAAGCUCUGCCAGGGAGGAAGUCAGGACCCAUUCAUCCUUCCCCUGAGAAGGGAGCUGUCUGGAUAGCCAUGAGUCCCCGAUCCUCCAUUCACCAGUUCUGGACCCUUUAAUCAUUCCACAGGGACAAACACUAUGUGAUUUUUAAAAAAAAAUUAGAACUAGGUUAAUUCCAAGUUUUAGGUGAGAGAUGGUUCCAUGAAGAAACAAAUCACAAAGGAAAUAAGAGUCACUCAGUCAAUCUUUUCAACCAAUGGCUGCGACAGCUGUGCUCACGUGGCCCCAGCCCUGACAGAUCAAGGGCUAGGAGGGUGCUGAUGUUGGUGAUGCUGAACAAACACACCACAGGAGGAACCAUACCUCAGGUUUUGGGAACUUGAGGCAUCAUUCCAGAGGAAGUGAUGUCUCAACUAAGGAAAAAGAUGAGCCCGAAACUGUCCAAGAAGGGGAGUGAGAUUGCUGUGGGCCACAGGAACACCAGGAUCCAUGGCCUAAUGGGAUGGGUUCCAGCUCCACCAUGACACCAGAAGGCCACUCUCUUGAGGGAACCAGGUGUUCAAAGACGCCGCCUCAGUGGGACUCAACUGGGAGUGUGCUUAGAAUCACAUGGGAACUAAGAAAAAAAAAAUCCCCAAACCCUAACCCAAUGCAGCCAUCAGGCUCCACCCACCCUCUGACAUUCUGGUUUGCUGGGUUAGAAGAAAGAAGUUUGCGCGUUGGCAGAAUAUAAAGAUCCCCUUAUGACGCUGGCGUGCUGGGCUGGCUUGGUUUAUUUCAUGUUCAAUUUGACGCAAACUAGGGUCAUCUGGGAACCUCAGUGGAAAAAUGUCUCCAUUAGAAUGUCCUGUAGGUUGGCCAGGGGAUGGUGGCUUCUGUGAGUUCGAGGCCAGCCUGGUCUACAGAGUGAGUUCCAGGACAGGCACCAAAAACUACACAGAGAAACCCUGUUUUGAAAAGAAUGUCCUGUAGGCAAGUCUCAUUUUCUUUAAUUAUUGGUGCGAGAGGGGCUCAGCCCACAGUGGGCCUCUAGAGCCAACCCCUGGGCAGGUGGUUCUGGGAAGACUAAGAAAGGCAGCUGAAUGUCAGCCGGGAGAGCAAGACCACACGCGCAGUAGUUCCCAGUGGCCUCUGCUUCAGUCUCUGCUUCCAGGUCCCGGCUCUGACUUCCCUCAACGAGGCACUGCGAUGUGGAAGUGUAAGCCAAGUAAACCCUUUCCUCCCCCCAGUUUCACUUCAUCCUUUGUUUAUCAUAGUGAUGGAAAGUAAGCCAGGACAGGUACAGGCUGAAUAUCACCAGUCCCUGCGGGCCUGUUUGCAGACUUUUGCUAGCGUACUGUUCGGUUGAUCUUCCAUGGCACAAAGACUGGAGUUCCUUGUGGAGUGACCGGCGGGGAAGAGCAGUGGUUCUGAGGGGGAGACAAGAGACCUCUUCUGUAGCAUCCAGGUGGGCCCCAGGCUCUGCUCCAGGCUCAGACACCUGGAUUAAAGCGACUUGAGGUAGGAGCGGAUCGUUUCGGCUCCUGGUUUGAGAGGACAUGUUCCACUGCGGGACGGAAGUGUGAAGCAGCUGGUCACAUUGUGUCCACACUCAGGAUUCCGAGAGAAGAAGGCAUGGGUGUUAGGAAUCUGCGCUCCGGUCUCCCUCCUCCCACUCCAGACCCCGCCCCUCAGAAAGCCCGCCAAGUGUUGGCUCCUCCCCCAGGGUUGCUCAAGACCACACCUACAGGGUAUUUAAGACCGAUCACCAGACCUGCCAGGUGAUUUUCUCUCCUGUCUCCGAGAGUCACUCGGGAGUCGCUUUGCUUAUAUUAAUAUUUUGUUUAUUAAAUCUAGUCUUAUUAAUUCGGCUUGAUUUGGCUUAUUGCUUCGGCGGAGGAUACCCAAUAACCGGGGAUCCAAUACUUAGCAGCGGGCGCUUAUUGGCUUCCUCCUUUCCCCCUUUCUACAGGCCCUAGUCACGGAAUGGUGCCUCCCCCAAUCUGGCUAGGACUUCUCUCCUCAGUGUCUGGAAACACUCUCACUGACACAUCCAGAAGUGUGUGUCCUAGGUGGUUCCAAAGCCGAUGAAAUUGCUAGUGAGGAUUAACCAUUAUACUGCUUUUUCUGUGGGAAUGUCCUACGAUCCUCCACCGAGCUUAGGGGUGACCCCAGGAAGUUUAUUAUGUGAAUUACGGGCACUUGGCUCCUAGCAUGCCCUGUAGCCUCUGCCCUGUGUGCCAACAGACCGCACAAGCCCAGGCCUAGAGCCCCCAGCACUCAGUAAACGAGGACAUUGUAAUUCUCCAGGCGACCAGAGACUGUGAAAGGACACUCUCCACAUGGAAGGCCAUUUAAACCACAGGUUUGGAAAUGGGGCCUCAUGUUUUCUUCUGCUUUGUAGUGACGCACACUUCCAUGGAGGUUGUGUGUAGGAAAUGGGCGGGAGACAGCAGUGUUGUAACUAUCUUUUUUUGUCACCUACCCCCCAAGUCCUUGUGUCCCCCCACCAUUUUUCUCUCUGGAGAUAAGAGUCUUACUAUAUAGCCCUGGGUGACCGAGAACUUGCUAUGUAGGACAGGCUGGCCUGGAACUGGCAGUGGUCCAACUGCCUCUGCCUCCCGAGUACUGGAGUUACAGAUGAGAGCUACCACCAGGUACGUCUUCCCCCACCUUUGCCUGGUUGUAGCCCAGAUCCUGAACCUCUUUGACUUUCAGUGGUGACAUUUCCAGAGGAUCCUUGACAAUCUCAGAGACCCCGGAAGUCUCAUGCAUGAAAUUGCUCUCCCUGCUGGGAACCAGGUUCCUCUGCACUUUGAUCUUCUAGCUGGGAUCUAGUGAUGGUCACACCCUUCAGGAGAAGGGGACAGAAAACGUCAAGUGUAUCAUGAUGCAUUUCUGUUUGUGUAUCCCUGCAGGUCUCCACUGUUUGGCCACAGUCCAGCGUCAAUUAUGAGUAUGGAAGACAUGCCCGGGCAUGUCUGGUGGAUAGGCUGGCCAGGAGCCCAUAGGCUGGAAGACCAAGCUGAUCCUUGAGAGGGGUGCUUGACUUCUACAGCAAGCCAAGUGAUCUGGGCUUGGACUAAGGUCUGAGUUAGGGAGGGAAAGCUCUCCUAUGAGCACAGGUGAAUAUUAACCAUCACGGUGGCGGCAGUCAUGGCAGUGAAUGAAAAAAAGAAAUUAAAAGGAGGCCAUGACGGCUCCUAGGUAUGUGGAGGAGAAAGUCUAUUGUAGAUAUGAGGGAGAGCACAGCCAGA